This 326-nucleotide ribosomal RNA is filed under the name uncultured eukaryote. RNAcentral describes it as "partial 18S ribosomal RNA". It matches the Rfam family "Eukaryotic small subunit ribosomal RNA", at positions 1470 to 1796 of the family's 1831-position model. The record is from RNAcentral.
CCCUUAGAUGUCCUGGGCCGCACGCGCGCUACACUGAACGGAUCAGCGCGUUUUCCCUUCCCGAGAGGGACGGGUAACCUGCUGAACCCCGUUCGUGGUAGGGAUCGGGGCUUGCAAUUAUUCCCCGUGAACCAGGAAUGCCCAGUAAGUGCAAGUCAUAAGCUUGCGUUGAUUACGUCCCUGCCCUUUGUACACACCUCCCGUCGCUACUACCGAUUGAACGUUUUAGUGAGGUACUCGGACUGAGCCUCAGAAGAUUCACGUCUUUUGUGCUGCUCGGGAAGAUUCCCAAACUUGAGCGUUUAGAGGAAGUAAAAGUCGUAACA